GACGAACGCUGGCGGCGUGCUUAACACAUGUAAGUCGAGCGGUAAGGCCCUUUCGGGGGUACACGAGCGGCGAACGGGUGAGUAACACGUGGGUGACCUGCCCUCAGCUCUGGGAUAAGCCCGGGAAACUGGGUCUAAUACUGGAUAUGACUCCAUGACGCAUGUUGUGGGGUGGAAAGCCUUGUGCGGCUGAGGAUGGGCCCGCGGCCUAUCAGCUUGUUGGUGGGGUGAUGGCCUACCAAGGCGACGACGGGUAGCCGGCCUGAGAGGGCGACCGGCCACACUGGGACUGAGACACGGCCCAGACUCCUACGGGAGGCAGCAGUGGGGAAUCUUGCGCAAUGGGCGAAAGCCUGACGCAGCGACGCCGCGUGAGGGAUGACGGCCUCGG
This 391-nucleotide ribosomal RNA is filed under the name uncultured bacterium. RNAcentral describes it as "bacterial SSU rRNA". It matches the Rfam family "Bacterial small subunit ribosomal RNA", at positions 28 to 420 of the family's 1533-position model. The record is from RNAcentral.